Long non-coding RNA from Bos taurus (domestic cattle), 895 nucleotides. The record is from Ensembl. Lineage: Eukaryota; Metazoa; Chordata; Mammalia; Artiodactyla; Bovidae.
GCGAUAAACAAUAACAAUUAUUAUUGGCACAAAUAGUCACAUCACUGCUGAGUAACGAAUGUACCAAGAUAAGAAGUCAAGCUGUAAUUUCAGUCCUGCUAUCUUUCCAAAGAACAUGCAGCCAAGAUAACCUUACCAUUCAGCACGAUAGCCUCCUGCAAAAGCUGGGGCAGGGAGUGUUCUCACUGGGGAGGCCUCCUUUGCUCACAGGAGGUGCAAAAACAGGCAGUAAGAAGACCUACUUCAAGUCCAGGCUCCACUAACAACCAGAUUCAAAAAGAGAAUUCAUCACUUUCAAACUACUGGUUCAGAAGACUUCAGGAUUUCCAACUUCUCUGAAAACACAGGAACGAUCUGGCAACCCGGGGCCACAGCAGCAAGGCCUGGAGUGUGGCCCGUGCCGCCCCCGUCUCCCUGGCACUCAUGGACCGAUAACAGCUUCCCCUGGUCUGUGAUCAACUGAAACCGAUCCCACGCACAGCUCUCUUCAGAGCCUUGACACAGCACCAACCUGAGGGCCAGGGCCUCCAGAAUUUACAUGUUCCAUUGAUCAGCCCAAACCACUCGAGUUCUGUUUUCUGACCAGUAAUCAAAAGGCCCUGACAAUAACUUCAAGACAAGCGCCAGGAGAGUUUCCGUUUAUAUUGCACAAAGCCGUGAUUGGAAACAUAUGGACAGUCAGGACGCUGCGAAAGAAAACUCUGGAGUUCUUAGUCGAUUGGGUUUGGGGACUGCCCCCCUAGCCAGCUCUGCCGGCCUGCCCUAUCGCUGAGGACACAGGCCUGGCUGCCGUCUUGCUCCCCAGGCCCCCAGGAAGGAGUUCCUUACCUCUCCCCUCAUUUUACAGCUCAGGGUGCAGCCAACGGAGGGUGAGUCAUUCACCCAACUCUUUUCC